This is an RNA transcript of Dreissena polymorpha, 1654 nucleotides long. RefSeq lists it as uncharacterized. The record is from RefSeq and is a predicted model, not a curated record. Lineage: Eukaryota; Metazoa; Mollusca; Bivalvia; Myida; Dreissenidae. The transcript is spliced from 3 exons.
GAUAUUUUUUUAUAUUUGGUUCGAAAAUGUUCGGAAUUUUUUGAUGUUCGUACUCAUAUUGUACCAACACGAUUCAAAUAAUUUAAAUGAAAGUUACAAACAAAACAAAUCAAGAUAUUACAGAUAUUACAGAUACUGACCAUCUUGUGAUAAUCAAGUACUGUUUCACACUGGAGGUUACCGCACAAAACAAAUCAAGAUAUAACACAUACUGACCUUCUUGUGAUAAUAAAGUACUGUUUCACACUGGAGGUUACGAUUUCAUUUAAUAAAACACAGAAACAUUUACAUUUAAAUGAAUGCAGAGCUGUCAAGCUUCGCAUCGAGGGAACGAUUGGUUUUUAUAAUUAAAUAAUAAAAAAAACUACCGGAAAUUAAAUCACAAUAAUUUGAAAUAAUGUUUAAAAUGUAUUAACAUUUUAUAACAAGUCUGGUUGUAUUAGAUAUAAACAUGACUCUGCCUUGUCAUUGGAUUUUUUCCCCUACCCUUAAUUCCAAAAUGGUGGAAGAUAAUGGCAGCUCUGCCUUCUUGUUAAGCCACUACGCUUGAGCAGACGGCCAUUUUCAAAGAUAGCGGCGUGGUUUAAACUUCAGGCCUUUUAAGAUCUACAUAGGGACCAAAUAGUGUCAAACAAUAUCGUUGUUGUCCACUCGCGAUUUUUUUAUAAAAGAAUUGCAGUCACGGGUAAACUCUGACGGUCGAUCGGAUGAAGAAGAGCGUGACAUCCUGGUAGGAAAGUCGAAAAGUCCGACAAAGAUGAGAUCAAUUUACAUACAGGAUGCAACGGUGGACAGAGUAAAAGUGGCUUUGUGGAGAAACACCAACAAAGACGUCAGAACUGGGGAUUACGUCAAAAUCACUGAUUUGACAAUACACACUUACCAAACAAAGUACACAACUGAAACCAGCUUCAAUUCUACCUACACAACUUCAGUUACUAAAGUCGAACAACCAACUGUACAUGUGACGGUUACAGUAAUAGGUGCCUGUGUACAAGAUGACAUUACAGAACUUCUCCUCAGUGAUGACUCUGUGAGGGCAAUACCUUCACAAUUAUUAAUGGCUGCCCUUCCACAAGAACUUGAUGAAGACUUGGAUCCAGAAUCUUUCUUUGCAGAGAGAAAAACAAACUUAAGGCUGCAAUUAAAAGGAUCAGAAGUACUUUCAGUGAUACUUCAGUAAACUGUUAUACAUAUACAUGACAUUAUUCAGCAUUCCUAGUUUACCUUGUUUUCCCUAGUGUUUUUUUUUAUAUAAAUCUACUACUUUUUCAUACAUUUUACAACAAGCUCCUACUUUUCCUAGUUAUGCCCCUCUUCGAAGAAGGGGGAUAUUGCUUUGCACAUGUUAGUGUGUUGGUCUGUCUGUCCGUCCACCACAUGAUUGUCUGAUGAUAACUCAAGAACGCUUAGGCCUAGGAUCAUGAAACUUCAUACGUACAUUGAUCAUGACUGGCAGAUGACCAACUAUUGAUUUUGAGGUCAAUGGACACAGGUGAAGGUCAUAGUGACUUGAAAUAAGAAAAUGGUUUCUAAAUGUGACUCCAGAAUGCUUACACUAGGAUCAUGAAACUUAAUAGAGACAUUGAUCAUGACCAGCAUCUGACCCCUACUGAUUUUCAGGUCAAUAGGUCAAAGGUCAAGGUCACAGUGA